Molecule: ribosomal RNA, 493 nt
Filed under: uncultured bacterium
Lineage: Bacteria
Description: partial 16S ribosomal RNA
Rfam family: Bacterial small subunit ribosomal RNA
Source: RNAcentral
GACGAACGCUGGCGGCGUGCUUAACACAUGCAAGUCGAACGGUGAAGCGCCUUCCUUUUUGGUGGGUGUGGAUGAGUGGCGAACGGGUGAGUAACACGUGAGUAACCUGCCCCCUUCUUCUGGAUAACCGCAUGAAAGUGUGGCUAAUACGGGAUAUUCUGGGUCUGUCGCAUGAUGGGUCUGGGAAAGAUAUUGUUUCGGUGGGGGAUGGGCUCGCGGCCUAUCAGCUUGUUGGUGGGGUGAUGGCCUACCAAGGCGGUGACGGGUAGCCGGCCUGAGAGGGUGGACGGUCACACUGGGACUGAGACACGGCCCAGACUCUACGGGAGGCAGCAGUGGGGAAUAUUGCACAAUGGGCGCAAGCCUGAUGCAGCGACGCCGCGUGAGGGAUGGAGGCCUUCGGGUUGUGAACCUCUUUCGCCAGUGAAGCAGGCCUGCCUCGUUUGUGGGUGGGUUGACGGUAGCUGGAUAAGAAGCGCCGGCUAACUACGUG